GACGAACGCUGGCGGCGUGCUUAACACAUGCAAGUCGAACGAAGUGGCGGACGGGUGAGUAACGCGUAAUAAACCUGCCCUUCAGAGGGGGACACCAGUUGGAAACGACUGCUAAUACCGCAUACUGAAGGCGGGGGUUGCGUCUGCUUCGCGAGUUGGAGGGGUAACGGCCCACCAAGGCGAGGGUCAGUAGCCGUGCUGGUAGGAUGAACGGCCACAAGGGGACGGGUGCACGGCCCAGAUGCGUACGGGAGGCAUCAGUGGGGAAUCUUCCGAAAUGGACGAAAGUCUGACGGAGCAACGCCGCGGGAGUGAUGACGGCCUUCGGGUGGUAAAGCUCUGUUAAUCGGGACGCGGUACCGGAAUAGAAAGCCACGGCUAACUACGUGCCAGCAGCCGCGGUAAUAC
Molecule: ribosomal RNA, 408 nt
Filed under: uncultured bacterium
Lineage: Bacteria
Description: partial 16S ribosomal RNA
Rfam family: Bacterial small subunit ribosomal RNA
Source: RNAcentral